RNAcentral lists this ribosomal RNA (292 nucleotides) under uncultured bacterium. RNAcentral describes it as "partial 16S ribosomal RNA". It matches the Rfam family "Bacterial small subunit ribosomal RNA", at positions 505 to 796 of the family's 1533-position model. The record is from RNAcentral.
GUGUCAGCCGCCGCGGUAAGACGAACCGUGCAAACGUUGUUCGGAAUCACUGGGCUUAAAGGGCGCGUAGGCGGCUCGCCAAGUCGGGGGUGAAAUCUUUCGGCUCAACCGGAAAAGUGCCUUCGAUACUGGCGGGCUGGAGGGAGGUAGGGGCAUGUGGAACUUCCGGUGGAGCGGUGAAAUGCGUUGAUAUCGGAAGGAACGCCGGUGGCGAAAGCGACGUGCUGGACCUCUUCUGACGCUGAGGCGCGAAAGCUAGGGGAGCGAACGGGAUUAGAAACCCCCGUAGUCC